This 837-nucleotide ribosomal RNA is filed under the name Klebsiella sp. SEB005. Its description in RNAcentral is "bacterial SSU rRNA". It matches the Rfam family "Bacterial small subunit ribosomal RNA", at positions 80 to 915 of the family's 1533-position model. Lineage: Bacteria; Pseudomonadati; Pseudomonadota; Gammaproteobacteria; Enterobacterales; Enterobacteriaceae. The record is from RNAcentral.
GCUCUCGGGUGACGAGCGGCGGACGGGUGAGUAAUGUCUGGGAAACUGCCUGAUGGAGGGGGAUAACUACUGGAAACGGUAGCUAAUACCGCAUAACGUCGCAAGACCAAAGUGGGGGACCUUCGGGCCUCAUGCCAUCAGAUGUGCCCAGAUGGGAUUAGCUGGUAGGUGGGGUAACGGCUCACCUAGGCGACGAUCCCUAGCUGGUCUGAGAGGAUGACCAGCCACACUGGAACUGAGACACGGUCCACACUCCUACGGGAGGCAGCAGUGGGGAAUAUUGCACAAUGGGCGCAAGCCUGAUGCAGCCAUGCCGCGUGUGUGAAGAAGGCCUUCGGGUUGUAAAGCACUUUCAGCGGGGAGGAAGGCGGUGAGGUUAAUAACCUGACCGAUUGUAGUUACCCGCAGAAGAAGCACCGGCUAACUCCGUGCCAGCAGCCGCGGUAAUACGGAGGGUGCAAGCGUUAAUCGGAAUUACUGGGCGUAAAGCGCACGCAGGCGGUCUGUCAAGUCGGAUGUGAAAUCCCCGGGCUCAACCUGGGAACUGCAUUCGAAACUGGCAGGCUAGAGUCUUGUAGAGGGGGGUAGAAUUCCAGGUGUAGCGGUGAAAUGCGUAGAGAUCUGGAGGAAUACCGGUGGCGAAGGCGGCCCCCUGGACAAAGACUGACGCUCAGGUGCGAAAGCGUGGGGAGCAACAGGAUUAGAUACCCUGGUAGUCCACGCUGUGAACGAUGUCGAUUUGGAGGUUGUGCCCUUGAGGCGUGGCUUCCGGAGCUAACGCGUUUAAUCGACCGCCUGGGGAGUACGGCCGCACGGUUAAACUCUAAUGAAUUGACG